Molecule: long non-coding RNA, 731 nt
Organism: Mesoplodon densirostris (Blainville's beaked whale)
Lineage: Eukaryota; Metazoa; Chordata; Mammalia; Artiodactyla; Ziphiidae
Exons: 3
Source: RefSeq, a predicted model, not a curated record
GGAAGAGCGCGGGCGUGAUUUGUCCUGCGCGGCCAGGUACGGCGUUGCCCAGGGCGGGCCGGAGACCGGGCUGCGGCUGUCCUCAGAUGCACCAGCCGGCACCCGGCGGACUCGCGCCCGCCCGUCGCUUUCAAGACUCCCCGGUUUCGUUAAGAGGCGGUCUCCGGGUGAGGACGGGCGCUUGCGGCCGGUGUCUGUCAGUGCCCUGGCCUCUGCGAUACAGACCAACAGCUAAGGGGGUGGUGGGAAGGGCGCGGGGCCGUCGCCUCUGGCUUAACAGAGCAGAUGCGCAGGGAGUCCAACAGGUGGCUCCGUGGCGCAAUGGAUAGCGCAUUGGACUUCUAGAGGCUGAAGGCAUUCAAAGGUUCCGGGUUCGAGUCCCGGCGGAGUCGCAGUUUUUCCCCCAAGAAAGCCUGGCUCUAGAAGGCCCCAAGUCUAAUUUCCCACCUCGUUUGGAAGAGAGGAUGAGAGGCGUGCCCUCUAAUAGGGCAAAAGUGACUGACUGCAGAUCGUUUCUGACCUGUUAAUACAGCAACUUUAUUCAUUUGUAAAACUACAGCCCGGAAAGAUGACUGCCUACAACAUAGAGGAUGGACCAAAAGGGAGAGCAGACCUGGAGGCAAAGGACUAUUACAGUAAUCCAUGAGUGACAUGAAAGGUAGCCAAGAAGAACGAAAUGAACUUAAGAGCUACCAGAGGGUGAAUCAAUUGGACUUUCAUCUGAAAAUACU